Molecule: transfer RNA, 82 nt
Filed under: Hydra vulgaris (swiftwater hydra)
Lineage: Eukaryota; Metazoa; Cnidaria; Hydrozoa; Anthoathecata; Hydridae
Rfam family: tRNA
About the family: Transfer RNA (tRNA) molecules are approximately 80 nucleotides in length. Their secondary structure includes four short double-helical elements and three loops (D, anti-codon, and T loops). Further hydrogen bonds mediate the characteristic L-shaped molecular structure. tRNAs have two regions of fundamental functional importance: the anti-codon, which is responsible for specific mRNA codon recognition, and the 3' end, to which the tRNAs corresponding amino acid is attached (by aminoacyl-tRNA synthetases). tRNAs cope with the degeneracy of the genetic code in two manners: having more than one tRNA (with a specific anti-codon) for a particular amino acid; and 'wobble' base-pairing, i.e. permitting non-standard base-pairing at the 3rd anti-codon position.
Source: Rfam by way of RNAcentral
GCUGUGAUGGCCGAGUGGUUAAGGCGUUUGACUAGAAAUCAAAUGGGAUCUUCCCGCGUAGGUUCGAAUCCUACUCAUAGCG